This 479-nucleotide ribosomal RNA is filed under the name uncultured bacterium. RNAcentral's name for it is "partial 16S ribosomal RNA". It matches the Rfam family "Bacterial small subunit ribosomal RNA", at positions 28 to 507 of the family's 1533-position model. The record is from RNAcentral.
GACGAACGCUGGCGGCGUGCCUAACACAUGCAAGUGGAGCGACGAACCGGGGCUUGCCCCGGGGCAGAGCCGCGAAAGGGUGAGUAACACGUGGGUGACCCGCCCCGAUGACUGGGACAACCCGUCGAAAGACGGGCUAAUACCGGAUGUGCCCCUUCGGGUAAAGGAAGGUUCGGUCUCAGCAUCGGGAUGGGCCCGCGGCGCAGUGGCUUGUUGGUGGGGUAAUUGGGUACCAAGGCGACGAUGCGUUGCUGGUGUGAGAGGACGAUCAGCCACACUGGGACUGAGACACGGCCCAGACUCCUACGGGAGGCAGCAGUGGGGAAUCUUGCACAAUGGGCGAAAGCGUGAUGCAGCAGCGCCGCGUGCGGGAAGAAGGCCUUAGGGUUGUAAACCGCUUUCAGGGGGGAUGAGGCGUCGAUCGUGAAUAGCGGGUUGGAGUGACGGUACCUUCAGAAGAAGCGCCGGCUAACUACGUG